CCAGCUGAGCCCCCCCAGGGUCCUGGACAUCAGGGCCAGCAUAGAAACAACCAUAGGGAUGGUGGGAACUUAAAUCCAGGCUCCCUGGAGCUAGUUAGAAUGACCUGGGGCUCAGGGCUGUUCAGUGGCACCAGAUGCCAUGUGCCCCUUCCUGGGUAUCCCAGAAAUCCCAGGGCCACUAAGCUGGGCUCAGCCCCCGCAUUCACCAAUGUCCCCUCUUUGGCCCUAGGAUGGGAAGCUUGGGCACAAACCCACCUCUCUGCUGGCUUCAAAUCCUUCCUGAAUCUGUACAGAGGUGGAACCCACAGGGCCCCCAGGGCUGAGGGGCACCCCC
Molecule: long non-coding RNA, 334 nt
Filed under: Homo sapiens (human)
Lineage: Eukaryota; Metazoa; Chordata; Mammalia; Primates; Hominidae
Description: non-protein coding lnc-ALPI-3:1
Source: RNAcentral